UACGUAGGUGGCAAGCGUUGUCCGGAUUUACUGGGUGUAAAGGGCGUGUAGGCGGGACUGCAAGUCAGAUGUGAAAACCACGGGCUCAACCUGUGGCCUGCAUUUGAAACUGUAGUUCUUGAGUACUGGAGAGGCAGACGGGAUUCCUAGUGUAGCGGUGAAAUGCGUAGAUAUUAGGAGGAACACCAGUGGCGAAGGCGGUCUGCUGGACAGCAACUGACGCUGAGGCGCGAAAGCGUGGGGAGCAAACAGG
Molecule: ribosomal RNA, 253 nt
Filed under: uncultured bacterium
Lineage: Bacteria
Description: partial 16S ribosomal RNA
Rfam family: Bacterial small subunit ribosomal RNA
Source: RNAcentral